RNAcentral lists this transfer RNA (58 nucleotides) under Apaloderma vittatum (bar-tailed trogon). It matches the Rfam family "tRNA", at positions 8 to 63 of the family's 71-position model. Rfam says of the family: Transfer RNA (tRNA) molecules are approximately 80 nucleotides in length. Their secondary structure includes four short double-helical elements and three loops (D, anti-codon, and T loops). The record is from Rfam by way of RNAcentral. Lineage: Eukaryota; Metazoa; Chordata; Aves; Trogoniformes; Trogonidae.
UAGCUCAGUCAGUUGAGCAUAGCACUAACAACGCUAAGGUUGCGGGUUCGAUUCCCGU